Harmonia axyridis is the source of this 956-nucleotide long non-coding RNA. RefSeq lists it as uncharacterized. Lineage: Eukaryota; Metazoa; Arthropoda; Insecta; Coleoptera; Coccinellidae. The transcript is spliced from 2 exons. The record is from RefSeq and is a predicted model, not a curated record.
GCAAACACAUAACCUCAUUGGGAACUAUAUAUGAUCUACUUCACAGACACACUGGGUACACACGUUGGCUUUUAGCAAAGACUAAAAAAAAGGCUGCACUUAUGCGAAUUAAUUCGAAUUUUUGUAGAGCUAAAUCAGCUAAAUGACAUAAUUAGUUCGAAUUAAUUCGCUUCGCACUGCUGCAGCCAGUCGAAUACGCUCUACUCUAAGACUGUAGUCUGUGGUUGUAUACUUAAUUUAUGGGCUUUUGUUGUUUUGUUUUUGUAUAUAGUAUAAAUUAUCGUUCUAAAGGAAAUGUAUUCCCUUGAACAAAAAAUUAAUAUCAUUAAAUGGUAUUUAGAAGCUGACAGCGCGGAUGAAGUGGUUGGGCGAUUUAUAUUUGCUUAUCCUGGUCAACAAGUUCCGUCUGUUCAAACAGUUUUGAAUAUUUUUCACCGAUUCGAAAAAUCCGGUUGCAUUAACAUAUGUAAAAAUUGCUAUCAAGACAAUAAAAAGACCCGUUCUAUACCUGACAAAAAUUACGAGAGGGAUAUAAGAGUAUGUGCCUUUGUUGAAGCAAAUGGGCCUAUGUCCAGCUCUGAAAUUUCUCAAGAAGUUGGCAUUCCUGCCCGUACAGUUAGGUAUAUUUUGAAGAAGCAUGGGUAUCAAUCCUAUAAAAUUAAGACUACUUAAGAAAUUUGAUAAGCUGUCCAUCCAUUUGAGUCCAAACAUUGUCGAAUUACUUUCACUUGAUGUUGGUCCAUUCAUUCCAUAGGCGAGAGGAGAAAACAAAUAAAAACUGUAUAGAAUAGAAGACAAAAUGACACCUAGGACUGUAUGAUAGACUGUAUUGGCUACUGUUGCAGGAAACAGUUUUGGAAUGUCUUCUAGAAAAUAAUCUAUGAUGAUGCCUGUAAGGUGAAGAUAACUUAUAUAAGUGGUGUAACAUAAAAUUUCACAUAGAAGCUUUACAUUUU